This 70-nucleotide transfer RNA is filed under the name Caracara plancus cheriway. RNAcentral describes it as "tRNA-Pro". It matches the Rfam family "tRNA". From Rfam's summary of the family: Transfer RNA (tRNA) molecules are approximately 80 nucleotides in length. Their secondary structure includes four short double-helical elements and three loops (D, anti-codon, and T loops). Lineage: Eukaryota; Metazoa; Chordata; Aves; Falconiformes; Falconidae. The record is from RNAcentral.
CAGAAGAUAGUUUAAUGGAAAAUACCAGCUUUGGGAGUUGGUGAUGGAGGUUUAAGUCCUCUUUUUCUGA